GUGGAUUAGAUACCCCAGUAGUCCUAGCCGUAAACGAUGGAUACUAGGCGUUGCUUGUAUCGACCCGAGCAGUGCCGUAGCUAACGCGUUAAGUAUCCCGCCUGGGGAGUACGCACGCAAGUGUGAAACUCAAAGGAAUUGACGGGGGCCCGCACAAGCGGUGGAGUAUGUGGUUUAAUUCGAUGCAACGCGAAGAACCUUACCAAGGCUUGACAUGUCGCGAAUCUCCUUGAAAGGGGAGAGUGCCUUCGGGAGCGCGAACACAGGUGGUGCACGGCUGUCGUCAGCU
RNAcentral lists this ribosomal RNA (289 nucleotides) under uncultured bacterium. RNAcentral describes it as "partial 16S ribosomal RNA". It matches the Rfam family "Bacterial small subunit ribosomal RNA", at positions 773 to 1060 of the family's 1533-position model. The record is from RNAcentral.